Molecule: ribosomal RNA, 253 nt
Filed under: uncultured bacterium
Lineage: Bacteria
Description: partial 16S ribosomal RNA
Rfam family: Bacterial small subunit ribosomal RNA
Source: RNAcentral
UACGUAGGGUGCAAGCGUUGUCCGGAUUUAUUGGGCGUAAAGAGCUCGUAGGCGGUUUGUCGCGUCGGAUGUGAAAACCUAUGGCUUAACCAUGGGCCUGCAUUCGAUACGGGCAAACUAGAGUUUGGUAGGGGAGAUUGGAACUCCUGGUGUAGCGGUGAAAUGCGCAGAUAUCAGGAAGAACACCGGUGGCGAAGGCGGAUCUCUGGGCCAAUACUGACGCUGAGGAGCGAAAGCGUGGGGAGCAAACAGG